GGGGGUGUAGCUCAGUGGUAGAGCGCGUGCUUACUCAGCAUGCACGAGGUCCCAGGUUCAAACCCGGGCACUUCCA
Odocoileus virginianus texanus is the source of this 76-nucleotide non-coding RNA. The record is from the annotation of a RefSeq genome assembly. Lineage: Eukaryota; Metazoa; Chordata; Mammalia; Artiodactyla; Cervidae.